Molecule: long non-coding RNA, 757 nt
Filed under: Orbicella faveolata
Lineage: Eukaryota; Metazoa; Cnidaria; Anthozoa; Scleractinia; Merulinidae
Description: uncharacterized LOC110055026, transcript variant X1
Source: RNAcentral
CCUUGGUUUCCCCUAGUUCCAUCCUCUUUAGGUUUCUGAAAAAUGUAGUCAGUGGAACCUUUCAUUCACCCCAGUGUUCCGUACAAGCCAGAAUUUACUUCAAUCUGAAAACCGCUGUUUUUCAGGGUGAGCCAGUAACCUGUGUUUGGUUUUGUUGGAUGAUCUUAGAUAAAUAUAAAAAUUAAUUUACUUGACUGCAGUCUGCUUAAAUCUAAAGAAAUACAUACUGUGAUUUUAGGGCGAGCCCGGAGUUCCCGGUACCCCUGGCCUACCGGGCUUUGAUGGAAUUCGGGGAAAGAGAGGAAAGCCGGGUAAACAAGGUCUUCCUGGAUUAAAAGGAUAUCAGGGUGCUGUUGGUGACUCUGGAUACGAUGGGAUCCUGGGUCGGAACGGUCAUCGAGGAAGGCGCGGUUCCCCGGGAGCUAAAGGUUUCCGUGGUGAUGACGGAGAUGAGUGACGUCUGCCUUCUACCAGGGAUCUGCUGGACCGGACGGGACUCCAGGAAUGGACGGUGGACAGGUCAGGAGUUCGAACACACCAAACCAGUUUGUUAUUUCUUUGCUUAGUUGCCAUUUUUUUCUGUCAAUAUUUAAGUUGCACAUUUAUUUCUCGUGUGACAUUUUCUAACAUCACCCUGUGACAGCAGCCCUAAUUAAUUGCAAGAAAUCGAUAAUUCCGUGAUUUAAGUGUCCCUGUUGUCACACAGCUCUAUUCACAACCGAAUGAAUAGAAUCAAAUUAUUUCUUUUGCAGUUAAA